AUCACUAAAAGUGAGCCCUAAGGGAACUGACUCUCAGGCCAUAAUGAGGUGUCAAAGUAGUCUCAUGGCCUGUUACAAAUGUAUCACUGAUGGAGGUAGCUUCCAACUGGCGAAGAUUGGUCUGUGUAAGGACACAGAAUUCAGCAGUGAAGCCAUCAGGACCUGGGCUUUUCUUUGUUGAAGCUGAUUAUCUCAAUUGUCACAGUCAUUUUGACUCAAAUCGGAAGAAAAAUGGCUGAGGAUUUCAAGACUCUGACCAAAGAAAUAUAAGGGUGCUUAGAAGAGAAGUUCAAGUUCAGUCAAAUUGUCAGAGAUGGCAGUUUCAGGCAGCAGUUUCACCAAAAAUUA
Molecule: non-coding RNA, 348 nt
Organism: Heterocephalus glaber (naked mole-rat)
Lineage: Eukaryota; Metazoa; Chordata; Mammalia; Rodentia; Bathyergidae
Source: RefSeq, a predicted model, not a curated record